CUAGCCGUAAACGAUGGGUACUAGGUGUGGGUGGUUUCGAUACCAUCCGUGCCGUAGUUAACGCAUUAAGUACCCCGCCUGGGGAGUACGUGCGCAAGCAUGAAACUCAAAGGAAUCGACGGGGGCCCGCACAAGCGGUGGAGCAUGUGGUUUAAUUCGAAGCAACGCGAAGAACCUUACCAGGUCUUGACAUCAUCUAGCAAGCCAUGGAAACAUGGCCCUCCUUCGGGACUGGGUGACAGGUGG
This 246-nucleotide ribosomal RNA is filed under the name uncultured bacterium. Its description in RNAcentral is "partial 16S ribosomal RNA". It matches the Rfam family "Bacterial small subunit ribosomal RNA", at positions 796 to 1041 of the family's 1533-position model. The record is from RNAcentral.